RNAcentral lists this ribosomal RNA (749 nucleotides) under Microbacteriaceae bacterium. RNAcentral's name for it is "bacterial SSU rRNA". It matches the Rfam family "Bacterial small subunit ribosomal RNA", at positions 72 to 835 of the family's 1533-position model. The record is from RNAcentral. Lineage: Bacteria; Bacillati; Actinomycetota; Actinomycetes; Micrococcales; Microbacteriaceae.
AGCCUAGCUUGCUGGGUGGAUUAGUGGCGAACGGGUGAGUAACACGUGAGUAACCUGCCCUUGACUCUGGGAUAAGCACUGGAAACGGUGUCUAAUACCGGAUAUUUCAGCUGGCCGCAUGGUCUGGUUGUGGAAAGAAUUUUGGUCAAGGAUGGACUCGCGGCCUAUCAGGUUGUUGGUGAGGUAAUGGCUCACCAAGCCUACGACGGGUAGCCGGCCUGAGAGGGUGACCGGCCACACUGGGACUGAGACACGGCCCAGACUCCUACGGGAGGCAGCAGUGGGGAAUAUUGCACAAUGGGCGAAAGCCUGAUGCAGCAACGCCGCGUGAGGGACGACGGCCUUCGGGUUGUAAACCUCUUUUAGUAGGGAAGAAGCGAAAGUGACGGUACCUGCAGAAAAAGCACCGGCUAACUACGUGCCAGCAGCCGCGGUAAUACGUAGGGUGCAAGCGUUGUCCGGAAUUAUUGGGCGUAAAGAGCUCGUAGGCGGUUUGUCGCGUCUGCUGUGAAAACUGGAGGCUCAACCUCCAGCCUGCAGUGGGUACGGGCAGACUAGAGUGCGGUAGGGGAGAUUGGAAUUCCUGGUGUAGCGGUGGAAUGCGCAGAUAUCAGGAGGAACACCGAUGGCGAAGGCAGAUCUCUGGGCCGUAACUGACGCUGAGGAGCGAAAGCAUGGGGAGCGAACAGGAUUAGAUACCCUGGUAGUCCAUGCCGUAAACGUUGGGAACUAGAUGUGGGGGCCAUUCC